GCAACUCAAUUUUAAGGAACUUAUCCUCAAAAUUUUCAACUAAUUUUUUUUUACAUACAAGUGUAAGUUUUUUAGUACGUGUUCUAGUUCUUACAUUCAACUUUGGACGCUAUUUGUGUCAGUCCAAAACAAAAGGGACCUUAUGGCGGUAUUUUUAGGUGGGUUGAUUCUUGUAUUAAUAAUAACUCAAUUUCCGCCACAAGGUCCCUUUUGUUUAAGACUGAUACAUAUAUGUACACUUUUGCAGUUGACUGUAUCUCCCGGAUAUGAUUAUAUUACCAUUCGAAGAUUUAUACUUAAACUUGUUAAAAUCAUAUUACUACGAAAAUGUAAGACUAAAAAAAUACUUAUACCUAAAUACUUCCUUUAAAUGCUUAUUAGUAAUUUAAAUUGUAUUUUGGUAAAUGUUUAUCCAAUAAAUGUUUGAAACUAGA
Cydia splendana is the source of this 434-nucleotide long non-coding RNA. RefSeq lists it as uncharacterized. NCBI's taxonomy places the organism in Eukaryota, Metazoa, Arthropoda, Insecta, Lepidoptera, Tortricidae. The record is from RefSeq and is a predicted model, not a curated record. The transcript is spliced from 2 exons.